UGGGACUUAUGCAUUUUCUGCUCCUGAGC
Molecule: non-coding RNA, 29 nt
Filed under: Rattus norvegicus (Norway rat)
Lineage: Eukaryota; Metazoa; Chordata; Mammalia; Rodentia; Muridae
Source: RNAcentral